CCAAGCUGCAGCACCAACCUGAGAGCAGUAAGACAUUAUCAAACUGCCAACUUUGAAGCUAAGCAGGUGUGAGCCUGGUCAGUACCUGGAUGGGAGACCUCCUGAGAAAAACUAAGGUUGCUGCUGGAA
Molecule: ribosomal RNA, 129 nt
Filed under: Lepisosteus oculatus (spotted gar)
Lineage: Eukaryota; Metazoa; Chordata; Actinopteri; Semionotiformes; Lepisosteidae
Source: RNAcentral